RNAcentral lists this ribosomal RNA (484 nucleotides) under Anaplasma ovis. Its description in RNAcentral is "bacterial SSU rRNA". It matches the Rfam family "Bacterial small subunit ribosomal RNA", at positions 155 to 673 of the family's 1533-position model. The record is from RNAcentral. Lineage: Bacteria; Pseudomonadati; Pseudomonadota; Alphaproteobacteria; Rickettsiales; Anaplasmataceae.
AAUGGUGGGUAAUACUGUAUAAUCCCUGCGGGGGAAAGAUUUAUCGCUAUUAGAUGAGCCUAUGUCAGAUUAGCUAGUUGGUGGGGUAAUGGCCCACCAAGGCUGUGAUCUGUAGCUGGUCUGAGAGGAUGAUCAGCCACACUGGAACUGAGACACGGUCCAGACUCCUACGGGAGGCAGCAGUGGGGAAUAUUGGACAAUGGGCGCAAGCCUGAUCCAGCUAUGCCGCGUGAGUGAGGAAGGCCUUAGGGUUGUAAAACUCUUUCAGUAGGGAAGAUAAUGACGGUACCUACAGAAGAAGUCCCGGCAAACUCCGUGCCAGCAGCCGCGGUAAUACGGAGGGGGCAAGCGUUGUUCGGAAUUAUUGGGCGUAAAGGGCAUGUAGGCGGUUUGGUAAGUUAAAGGUGAAAUACCAGGGCUUAACCCUGGGGCUGCUUUUAAUACUGCAGGACUAGAGUCCGGAAGAGGAUAGCGGAAUUCCUAG